Molecule: ribosomal RNA, 497 nt
Filed under: uncultured bacterium
Lineage: Bacteria
Description: partial 16S ribosomal RNA
Rfam family: Bacterial small subunit ribosomal RNA
Source: RNAcentral
GACGAACGCUGGCGGCGUGCCUAAUACAUGCAAGUUGAGCGCUGAAGGUUGGUACUUGUACCAACUGGAUGAGCAGCGAACGGGUGAGUAACGCGUGGGGAAUCUGCCUUUGAGCGGGGGACAACAUUUGGAAACGAAUGCUAAUACCGCAUAAAAACUUUAAACACAAGUUUUAAGUUUGAAAGAUGCAAUUGCAUCACUCAAAGAUGAUCCCGCGUUGUAUUAGCUAGUUGGUGAGGUAAAGGCUCACCAAGGCGAUGAUACAUAGCCGACCUGAGAGGGUGAUCGGCCACAUUGGGACUGGGACACGGCCCAAACUCCUACGGGAGGCAGCAGUAGGGAAUCUUCGGCAAUGGACGAAAGUCUGACCGAGCAACGCCGCGUGAGUGAAGAAGGUUUUCGGAUCGUAAAACUCGGUUGGUAGAGAAGAACGUUGGUGAGAGUGGAAAGCUCAUCAAGUGACGGUAACUACCCAGAAAGGGACGGCUAACUACGUG